This 500-nucleotide ribosomal RNA is filed under the name uncultured bacterium. Its description in RNAcentral is "partial 16S ribosomal RNA". It matches the Rfam family "Bacterial small subunit ribosomal RNA", at positions 30 to 523 of the family's 1533-position model. The record is from RNAcentral.
AUUGAACGCUGGCGGGAUGCUUUACACAUGCAAGUCGAACGGCAGCACGGACUUCGGUCUGGUGGCGAGUGGCGAACGGGUGAGUAAUAUAUCGGAACGUGCCCAGUCGUGGGGGAUAACGUAGUGAAAAUUACGCUAAUACCGCAUACGAUCUAUGGAUGAAAGCGGGGGAUCGCAAGACCUCGCGCGAUUGGAGCGGCCGAUAUCAGAUUAGGUAGUUGGUGAGGUAAAGGCUCACCAAGCCAACGAUCUGUAGCUGGUCUGAGAGGACGACCAGCCACACUGGGACUGGGGCACGGCACAGAAUCCUACGGGAGGCAGCAGUGGGGAAUUUUGGACAAUGGACGCAAGUCUUAUCCAGCCAUUCCGCGUGCAGGACGAAGGCCUUCGGGUUGUAAACUGCUUUUGUACAGAACGAAAAGGUCUCUAUUAAUACUAGGGGCUCAUGACGGUACUGUAAGAAUAAGCACCGGCUAACUACGUGCCAGCCGCCGCGGUAA